RNAcentral lists this ribosomal RNA (480 nucleotides) under uncultured bacterium. RNAcentral describes it as "partial 16S ribosomal RNA". It matches the Rfam family "Bacterial small subunit ribosomal RNA", at positions 28 to 523 of the family's 1533-position model. The record is from RNAcentral.
GACGAACGCUGGCGGCGUGCUUAACACAUGCAAGUCGAGCGAUGAAGCACCUUCGGGUGUGGAUUAGCGGCGAACGGGUGAGGAACACGUGAGGAAUCUGCCUUUCACUUCGGGAUAACUCCGGGAAACCGGGGCUAAUACCGGAUAUUUUCAACUGGCGGCAUCGCCGGUUGAAGAAAGUUUUUCGGUGAAAGAUGACCUCACGGCCUAUCAGCUUGUUGGUGAGGUAAUGGCUCACCAAGGCGACGACGGGUAGCCGGCCUGAGAGGGCGACCGGCCACACUGGGACUGGGACACGGCCCAGACUCCUACGGGAGGCAGCAGUGGGGAAUAUUGGGCAAUGGAGGAAACUCUGACCCAGCGACGCCGCGUGAGGGAUGAAGGCCUUCGGGUUGUAAACCUCUUUCAGCAGGGAAUAAGCGAAAGUGAAGGUACCUGCAGAAGAAGCACCGGCUAACUAUGUGCCAGCAGCCGCAGUAA